Molecule: ribosomal RNA, 434 nt
Filed under: uncultured Lachnospiraceae bacterium
Lineage: Bacteria; Bacillati; Bacillota; Clostridia; Lachnospirales; Lachnospiraceae
Description: partial 16S ribosomal RNA
Rfam family: Bacterial small subunit ribosomal RNA
Source: RNAcentral
ACGGAAGGCAGCAGUGGGGAAUAUUGCACAAUGGGGGAAACCCUGAUGCAGCGACGCCGCGUGAGUGAAGAAGUUAUUCGUAAUGUAAAGCUCUAUCAGCAGGGAAGAUGAUGACGGUACCUGACUAAGAAGCACCGGCUAAAUACGUGCCAGCAGCCGCGGUAAUACGUAUGGUGCAAGCGUUAUCCGGAUUUACUGGGUGUAAAGGGAGCGCAGACGGCUUUGCAAGUCUGAAGUGAAAUCCGCGGGCUCAACCCGUGAACUGCUUUGGAAACUGUAGAGCUAGAGUGUCGGAGAGGUAAGUGGAAUUCCUAGUGUAGCGGUGAAAUGCGUAGAUAUUAGGAGGAACACCAGUGGCGAAGGCGGCUUACUGGACGAUAACUGACGUUGAGGCUCGAAAGCGUGGGGAGCAAACAGGAUUAGAUACCCUGGUA